GACUUUGCAAGUUGAAAAAAGAAUCAAAUAUUCA
Molecule: transfer RNA, 34 nt
Filed under: Bassia prostrata
Lineage: Eukaryota; Viridiplantae; Streptophyta; Magnoliopsida; Caryophyllales; Amaranthaceae
Description: partial tRNA-Leu
Source: RNAcentral